Molecule: non-coding RNA, 160 nt
Filed under: uncultured Prevotella sp.
Lineage: Bacteria; Pseudomonadati; Bacteroidota; Bacteroidia; Bacteroidales; Prevotellaceae
Source: RNAcentral
GGUUCAUCUGCCAAUGAUCAAAAGGGAAUCAGGUGCAAUACCUGAACAGUCCCGCUGCUGUAAGUAGCCUUUUUUAGAUGGAACAAAGUGCCACUGGUAUUUGCCGGGAAGGCCGUUCCAUUGUUUCAGGCUGCAAGUCAGAAGACCUGCCAGUUGUCUG